RNAcentral lists this ribosomal RNA (500 nucleotides) under uncultured bacterium. RNAcentral describes it as "partial 16S ribosomal RNA". It matches the Rfam family "Bacterial small subunit ribosomal RNA", at positions 30 to 523 of the family's 1533-position model. The record is from RNAcentral.
AUUGAACGCUGGCGGAAUGCUUUACACAUGCAAGUCGAACGGCAGCACGGACUUCGGUCUGGUGGCGAGUGGCGAACGGGUGAGUAAUAUAUCGGAACGUAUCCAAUAAUGGGGGAUAACUAAUCGAAAGGUUGGCUAAUACCGCAUACGUCCUACGGGAGAAAGCUAGGGACCUUCGGGCCUGGCGUUAAUGGAGCGGCCGAUAUCGGAUUAACUAGUUGGUGAGGUAAAGGCUCACCAAGGCGACGAUCCGUAGCUGGUCUGAGAGGACGACCAACCACACCGGAACUGAGACACGGUCCAGACUCCUACGGGAGGAAGCAGUGGGGAAUUUUGGACAAUGGGCGAAAGCCUGAUCCAGCCAUUCCGCGUGAGUGAAGAAGGCCUUCGGGUUGUAAAGCUCUUUCGCAAGAGAAGAAAACUUACCCUCUAACAUAGGGUGGGGUUGACGGUAUCUUGAUAAGAAGCACCGGCUAACUACGUGCCAGCAGCCGCGGUAA